AUACGGAGGAUGCAAGCGUUAUCCGGAUUUAUUGGGUUUAAAGGGUGCGUAGGCGGUUUGCUAAGCGGGAGGUGAAAUGCCGGCGCUCAACGUCGGAAGUGCCUCCCGAACUGGUGGACUUGAAUGACUCUGCCGUGGGAGGAAUGUGUAGUGUAGCGGUGAAAUGCUUAGAGAUUACACAGAACACCGGUUGCGAAGGCAUCGCACGAAGGGUUGAUUGACGCUGAGGCACGAAAGCGUGGGGAUCAAACAGGAUUAGAUACCCUGGUAGUCCACGCAGGAAACGAUGAUGGCUAACCGCUGGAUCCAUCGGUUCAGUGGCCAAGCGAAAGCGAUAAGCCAUCCACCGGGGGAGUACGACCGCAAGGUUGAAACUCAAAGGAAUUGACGGG
This 392-nucleotide ribosomal RNA is filed under the name uncultured bacterium. RNAcentral's name for it is "partial 16S ribosomal RNA". It matches the Rfam family "Bacterial small subunit ribosomal RNA", at positions 523 to 917 of the family's 1533-position model. The record is from RNAcentral.